Molecule: non-coding RNA, 1045 nt
Organism: Rattus norvegicus (Norway rat)
Lineage: Eukaryota; Metazoa; Chordata; Mammalia; Rodentia; Muridae
Source: RefSeq, a predicted model, not a curated record
AUGACUUAAAGAAACAACCAUUUAUUUUGCUCAGUGAUUCCUAGUUAGGUAUUUUCCAGAGAGGACAGCUUAUCUCUGCCCACUGUAUCAUCAGCUGGAGUGGCUGAACCUGUUAGAGUUCAGUUGGAAAGGCGCUGGCUCACUGGGUGGUUGGCGAAUCUGUGUGGGUGUGGCUGAGUGAGGAUAUCCAGGGAUGACCCUCGCACCCUACCCCUCCACUCAUCUCUACACAGGCCUUUCUGCUUGUUAGAUCAUCUCAUAGCGUGAGGUAAAAACCACCGCGAGGGACAACGUAGAUCUCAAAACAAGCAGCCCACGGCCCAGGAAGUGGAAACUCUUUCUUUGUUCAGACGUUGGCUAACGAUCGCUUCUGUAACACCGCUGUUGAAGCAGUUGCAGAGGCAGAUGGGACAAAGAGUUUUAGGUCGAAGACAGAUGCUCCUAAGAUUUGAAGGCUGGGGACUGCCCACGUAGACAACUGUCUCUACAGAUUGGUUACGUUUCGGAAGCUAUGCUUUGUGCUUCCUGUAUUUUCAGCUGAUGAGUUCCUUUCCUGUUUCCAGGAGAAAAUGCCAUGGCCAAAGCCAUGAAAGUGUUUAUUGGGGAUUUACAGGUUCAAUGUGAUCUUUAGGACUUACUGGGGCCUGUGCAAUGGCUCAGUAGGAAAUGUCCUUGGUGCCAAGGCUGAGUUAAUCCCCAGAAGCCAGUGUGGAGGAAGACAAGUGACUUCUGAAAGCUGUACUCUGCCACGCCUACGGCAUUCGGGCAAGCGCACAUGCAGGAGAUAAUAAAAGAAACAGUUGACAGUACAAAAGACGCCAAGGAGCUUCUGGAUAAUCCAGGUCCAUGCGAGGAUCCAGGAGCAGUUUCCAGCAGCCACUUGGUGCUUCACAGCUGCCUAUGAUUGCAGUUCAAGGGGUUUCAACAUCAUCAUCUAGCUGGCUUAGGUACUGCACAUAUGUGUUGGGACACGACACAUAUGCAAAGUCAAGCAUUGGUACACUUGGAAUAAAAAUAAAUAAAAUCUUUUAAAACAUUUGUAAAA